RNAcentral lists this non-coding RNA (30 nucleotides) under Rattus norvegicus (Norway rat). The record is from RNAcentral. Lineage: Eukaryota; Metazoa; Chordata; Mammalia; Rodentia; Muridae.
UGAUGGCUCAUUGGUGCUCAUCUUGUGGCC